Molecule: ribosomal RNA, 395 nt
Filed under: uncultured soil bacterium
Lineage: Bacteria
Description: bacterial SSU rRNA
Rfam family: Bacterial small subunit ribosomal RNA
Source: RNAcentral
AGAGCGAACGCUGGCGGCAGGCCUAACACAUGCAAGUCGAACGGACCCUUCGGGGUUAGUGGCGGACGGGUGAGUAACACGUGGGAACGUGCCUUUUGGUUCGGAAUAGCUCCUGGAAACGGGUGGUAAUGCCGAAUGUGCCCUUCGGGGGAAAGAUUUAUCGCCAUUAGAGCGGCCCGCGUCUGAUUAGCUAGUUGGUGAGGUAAUGGCUCACCAAGGCGACGAUCAGUAGCUGGUCUGAGAGGAUGACCAGCCACAUUGGGACUGAGACACGGCCCAAACUCCUACGGGAGCAGCAGGUGGGAAUCGUUGCGCAAGUGGGACAAAGCCUAGACGCAGCCAUCGCGCGUGAAUGAUGAAGGUCUAGGAUUAGUAAAUUCGUUUACGACCGGGUA